CCUACGGGUGGCAGCAGUGAGGAAUAUUGGUCAAUGGGCGCUAGUCUGAACCAGCCAAGCCGCGUGAAGGAUGACGGCUCUAUGAGUUGUAAACUUCUUUUGUAUGGGAAUAAAUACCGGUAUGUGUACCGGGUUGCAUGUACCGUAUGAAUAAGGAUCGGCUAACUCCGUGCCAGCAGCCGCGGUAAUACGGAGGAUUCGAGCGUUAUCCGGAUUUAUUGGGUUUAAAGGGUGCGUAGGCGGUUUGUUAAGUCAGUGGUGAAAUCUAGGGGCUCAACCCUGGCAUUGCAGUUGAUACUGGCAUCCUUGAGUACAGUAGAGGUAGGCGGAAUGCGUGGUGUAGCGGUGAAAUGCAUAGAUAUCACGAAGAACUCCGAUUGCGAAGGCAGCCUGCCGGACUGUAACUGACGCUGAUGCACGAAAGUGUGGGGAGCAAACAGGAUUAGAUACCCCAGUAGUC
Molecule: ribosomal RNA, 460 nt
Filed under: uncultured bacterium
Lineage: Bacteria
Description: partial 16S ribosomal RNA
Rfam family: Bacterial small subunit ribosomal RNA
Source: RNAcentral